CAGGGGGAUCAUUUUUCGCUCAACUAGUAGGUCCCCUUGCUCUCCAACUUACCAGGGUGGUCUUUUUUUGUGGUGAAGUUUUAUUUUAGAGAGAUAUUAAAAGUUAAAUUGACCAAUGAGCAUCAGAAGAUGGUUUGAUUGACAGUUGGGAUUCUUUUCAGUCAGGCGCACGCUGAGCAAGAGGGCCGUCGUCAUGACUACUACUUGGCUGUGCGAGCCUGGGGGACUGGGAAAUCUUGUCUAUCUGUGUGUUGCUCCUGAUAUUACUUUCAUAAACUUUGAACAUCAACUCUAUCGAUUGAUCUACUGUUGCCAUUGUUUGGAUCUCCUUGUGAAGUCGGGUGUACUUAUCGGUACUCUGAGCUGGAGCGCUGAUGUUUAGAUGCGAUGUCCCAACAAGAAUCUGUCAGUAGGCUACCACAUUACACCUCAGCAGGCACACCAGAGAAGGACCACUCCUGGAUAAGGAUUUGAGCCACUGCCACGACUGCCAUCUCUACACUAUAUUACACACGCCAGCAGAUGUGGGAGGUGGUGAUCAACGUGACCCGUCAGCAGGUGGAGGACUUCCACGGCCCCGCGGACUACUGAUUACUGUGUGUGGCCUAGAGUCACCCGAGGACCUCCAAGAGCUGGCAAGGACACCAUCCGCGUCGCCCAACAUGGACAAACCAAAUCUGACAGGGUGCCCAUCAUCAGCUGCUGUGACGGGCCUUCCAUGGUGUUGCUGUGGUUAUUGCAAGGACAAACAAAAACUGUUUUGUUUGGUUUAUACAAACCAAAACAAUAUGUAAAUAAACUACACAAUUUGUACUGCUAAAUCCUGAAAUUGUAAGUAGUUAUUAAGUAAUGCCCGUAUGAAGUAUUAAGCACUAUAUAAAAAUACAUUACACAUACGUAAAA
Long non-coding RNA from Engraulis encrasicolus (European anchovy), 903 nucleotides. RefSeq lists it as uncharacterized. The transcript has 5 exons. Lineage: Eukaryota; Metazoa; Chordata; Actinopteri; Clupeiformes; Engraulidae. The record is from RefSeq and is a predicted model, not a curated record.